GUACUGAUGAAGAGUCCAAAACUAGGACGAAACGGCUGUCCAGUAU
RNAcentral lists this non-coding RNA (46 nucleotides) under Trichobilharzia regenti. The record is from RNAcentral. Lineage: Eukaryota; Metazoa; Platyhelminthes; Trematoda; Strigeidida; Schistosomatidae.